CGUAGGGGGCAAGCGUUGUCCGGAAUCAUUGGGCGUAAAGCGCGUGUAGGCGGUUUGGUAAGUCCGCUCUGAAAGUCCGGGGCUCAACCCCGGAAGGCGGGUGGAUACUGUCAGACUAGAGUGCGGAAGAGGCGAGUGGAAUUCCCGGUGUAGCGGUGAAAUGCGCAGAUAUCGGGAGGAACACCAAUUGCGAAGGCAGCUCGCUGGGACGUGACUGACGCUGAGACGCGAAAGCGUGGGGAGCAGACAGGAUUAGAUACCCUGGUAGUCCACGCCGUAAACGAUGGGCACUAGGUGUGGGGGGUGUCGACUCCCUCCGUGCCGAAGCUAACGCAUUAAGUGCCCCGCCUGGGGAGUACGGCCGCAAGGCUA
Molecule: ribosomal RNA, 372 nt
Filed under: uncultured organism
Description: bacterial SSU rRNA
Rfam family: Bacterial small subunit ribosomal RNA
Source: RNAcentral